CCUACGGGUGGCAGCAGUGAGGAAUAUUGGUCAAUGGGCGCGAGCCUGAACCAGCCAAGUAGCGUGAAGGAUGACUGCCCUACGGGUUGUAAACUCCUUUUAUAAAGGAAUAAAGUGAGGCACGUGUGCCUUUUUGUAUGUACUUUAUGAAUAAGGAUAGGCUAACUCCGUGCCAGCAGCCGCGGUAAUACGGAGGAUCCGCGCGUUAUCCGGAUUUAUUGGGUUUAAAGGGAGCGUAGAUGGGUUGUUAAGUCAGAUGUGAAAGUUUGCGGCUCAACCGUAAAAUUGCAAUUGAUACUGGCAGCCUUGAGUACAGUUGAGGUAGGCGGAAUUCGUGGUGUAGCGGUGAAAUGCGUAGAUAUGACGAAGAACUCCGAUUGCGAAGGCAGCUUACUAAACUGCCACUGACAUUGAUGCUCGAAAGUGUGGGGAUCAAACAGGAUUAGAUACCCCUGUAGUC
Molecule: ribosomal RNA, 460 nt
Filed under: uncultured bacterium
Lineage: Bacteria
Description: partial 16S ribosomal RNA
Rfam family: Bacterial small subunit ribosomal RNA
Source: RNAcentral